This 253-nucleotide ribosomal RNA is filed under the name uncultured bacterium. Its description in RNAcentral is "partial 16S ribosomal RNA". It matches the Rfam family "Bacterial small subunit ribosomal RNA", at positions 524 to 776 of the family's 1533-position model. The record is from RNAcentral.
GACGAACCGUCCGAACGUUAUUCGGAAUCACUGGGCUUAAAGGGUGCGUAGGCGGCGCGGAAAGUUGGGUGUGAAAUCCCUCGGCUCAACCGAGGAACUGCGCCCAAAACUGCCGUGCUCGAGGGAGAUAGAGGUGAGCGGAACUUAGGGUGGAGCGGUGAAAUGCGUUGAUAUCCUAAGGAACACCGGUGGCGAAAGCGGCUCACUGGAUCUCUUCUGACGCUGAGGCACGAAAGCUAGGGUAGCGAACGGG